This 418-nucleotide ribosomal RNA is filed under the name uncultured eukaryote. Its description in RNAcentral is "bacterial SSU rRNA". It matches the Rfam family "Eukaryotic small subunit ribosomal RNA", at positions 1 to 380 of the family's 1831-position model. The record is from RNAcentral.
AAUCUGGUUGAUCCUGCCAGUAGUUAUAUGCUUGUUCUAAAGAUUAAGCCAUGCAUGUGUCAGAAUAUGUCUGUACAGACGAAUCUGCAGACGGCUCAUUACAACAGUAAUCACAUAUUUGACGUUUAUCACACGGAUAACCGUGGGAAACCAAGGCUAAUACGGUUGAAAGCCGCAACUGCGUUAGUGGGUGUGUAGUAUUUCCUGUUGUCUAAAUCAAAUGCGCGUAGCGUGUGCGAGGAAUCGCAGGAACUUUUCGAGUCGAAUAAUUGAUACGUCAUUUCGGUUUCUGACCUAUCAGCUUUCGACGGUAGGGUAUUGGCCUACCGUGGCUAUGACGGGUAAUGGUGCAUGGCCGUUCUUAGUUGGUGGAUUGAUUUGUCUGGUUGAUUCCGACAACGAACGAGACCUUAGCCUA